CUGUCUGGCAGAGUGACUCCAGGGUAUCAGAUUAUUUAUCAUUUUUCCCCUUAUUUUCCCUAGGUUCUUCCAAUCCUCAGCUCCCACAGACUUCAUAUUUCUUCCUGAAAAAAGUACAAAAGCUCUAAUGCAUUUCAACUUGUCCAAAUGGGCCCUCAAUAUGGAAGAUGACUUCAGUCUCUCAAAUAGGACAACACCUGAGUAGAAUCAUGGCUCCUCUACUCAGGAGCAGCAGCUAAAGAGAAGGAAGAGCAGCUUGUGCUGUGACCUUGGGUAAGUCCUUGGGCUUAUCUGUGCCUCAGUUUCCUCCUCUAUUGAGUC
RNAcentral lists this long non-coding RNA (321 nucleotides) under Canis lupus familiaris (dog). RNAcentral describes it as "lncRNA (ENSCAFG00805025804.1, ENSCAFG00845027092.1)". The record is from RNAcentral. Lineage: Eukaryota; Metazoa; Chordata; Mammalia; Carnivora; Canidae.